This 506-nucleotide ribosomal RNA is filed under the name uncultured Eubacteriales bacterium. Its description in RNAcentral is "bacterial SSU rRNA". It matches the Rfam family "Bacterial small subunit ribosomal RNA", at positions 1 to 507 of the family's 1533-position model. The record is from RNAcentral. Lineage: Bacteria; Bacillati; Bacillota; Clostridia; Eubacteriales.
UAGAGGAGUUUCGAUCCUGGCUCGAGGUACGAACGCUGGCGGCGUGCCUAACACAUGCAAGUCGAACGAAGCUUGAUGAUGGAUUCUUCGGAAAGAAAUCUGAUAUGACUGAGUGGCGGACGGGUGAGUAACGCGUGAGUAACCUGCCCUUAGGAAAGGGAUAGCGUCUGGAAACGGACGGUAAUACCAUAUAAAGUAUAUUAACGGCAUCGUAGAUAUACCAAAGCUGAGGCGCCUAAGGAUGGACUCGCGUCUGAUUAUAUAGUUGGUGGGGUAACGGCCUACCAAGUCGACGAUCAGUAGCCGGACUGAGAGGUUGAACGGCCACAUUGGGACUGAGACACGGCCCAGACUCCUACGGGAGGCAGCAGUGGGGAAUAUUGCACAAUGGGCGAAAGCCUGAUGCAGCAACGCCGCGUGAAGGAAGACGUUUUCGGAUUGUAAACUUCUGUUCUUAGUGAAGAAUAAUGACGGUAACUAAGGAGCAAGCCACGGCUAACUACGUG